AAUACGUUCCCGGGCCCUUGUACACACCGCCCGUCAAGCCAUGGAAGCUGGGGGUACCUGAAGUCGGUGACCGCAAGGAGCUGCCUAGGGUAAAACUGGUAACUGGGGCU
RNAcentral lists this ribosomal RNA (110 nucleotides) under uncultured bacterium. Its description in RNAcentral is "partial 16S ribosomal RNA". It matches the Rfam family "Bacterial small subunit ribosomal RNA", at positions 1365 to 1482 of the family's 1533-position model. The record is from RNAcentral.